This 458-nucleotide ribosomal RNA is filed under the name uncultured bacterium. Its description in RNAcentral is "partial 16S ribosomal RNA". It matches the Rfam family "Bacterial small subunit ribosomal RNA", at positions 29 to 507 of the family's 1533-position model. The record is from RNAcentral.
AACGAACGCUGGCGGCAUGCCUAACACAUGCAAGUCGAACGAGACCUUCGGGUCUAGUGGCGCACGGGUGCGUAACGCGUGGGAACCUGCCCUUAGGUUCGGAAUAACUCCCCGAAAGGGGUGCUAAUGCCGGAUAAUGUCUUCGGACCAAAGAUUUAUCGCCUUUGGAUGGUCCCGCGUUGGAUAAGCUAUUUGUUAAGGUAAAAGCCUACCAAGGCGACGAUCCAUAGCUAGUCUGAGAGGGUGAUCAGCCACACUGGGACUGAUACACGGCCCAGACUCCGACGGAGGGCAGCAGCAGGGAAUCUUCCGGAACGGGCGAUGGCCUGACGGGCCGACGCCGCGUAAGUUAUGAAGGUCUUCUGAUCGGAAAGCACUGUUAGAAGGGAAGACAAAAAGUGCAAGCAACAAUGCACGACAUGACGUGACCUAAUCAGAAAGCCACGGCUAACUACGUG